RNAcentral lists this ribosomal RNA (587 nucleotides) under uncultured organism. RNAcentral's name for it is "SSU rRNA". It matches the Rfam family "Bacterial small subunit ribosomal RNA", at positions 903 to 1488 of the family's 1533-position model. The record is from RNAcentral.
AAAUUGACGGGGGCCCGCACAAGCGGUGGAGCAUGUGGGUUUAAUUGGAAGCAACGCGAAGAACCUUACCAGGUCUUGACAUCCCCUGACAACCCGAGAGAUGGGGCGUUCCCCCUUCGGGGGGACAGGGUGACAGGUGGUGCAUGGUUGUCGUCAGCUCGUGUCGUGAGAUGUUGGGUUAAGUCCCGCAACGAGCGCAACCCUCGCCUUUAGUUGCCAGCAUGAAGGUGGGCACUCUAGAGGGACUGCCGGCGACAAGUCGGAGGAAGGUGGGGAUGACGUCAAAUCAUCAUGCCCCUUAUGACCUGGGCUACACACGUGCUACAAUGGGCGGUACAAAGGGUUGCGAACCCGCGAGGGGGAGCGAAUCCCAAAAAGCCGCUCUCAGUUCGGAUUGCAGGCUGCAACUCGCCUGCAUGAAGCCGGAAUCGCUAGUAAUCGCGGAUCAGCAUGCCGCGGUGAAUACGUUCCCGGGCCUUGUACACACCGCCCGUCACACCACGAGAGCUUGCAACACCCGAAGUCGGUGAGGUAACCCUUACGGGAGCCAGCCGCCGAAGGUGGGGCAAGUGAUUGGGGUGAAGUCA